Molecule: ribosomal RNA, 796 nt
Filed under: Micrococcales bacterium
Lineage: Bacteria; Bacillati; Actinomycetota; Actinomycetes; Micrococcales
Description: bacterial SSU rRNA
Rfam family: Bacterial small subunit ribosomal RNA
Source: RNAcentral
AACCCCGAUGGCGAAGGCAGGUCUCUGGGCAUUAACUGACGCUGAGGAGCGAAAGCAUGGGGAGCGAACAGGAUUAGAUACCCUGGUAGUCCAUGCCGUAAACGUUGGGCACUAGGUGUGGGGGACAUUCCACGUUUUCCGCGCCGUAGCUAACGCAUUAAGUGCCCCGCCUGGGGAGUACGGCCGCAAGGCUAAAACUCAAAGGAAUUGACGGGGGCCCGCACAAGCGGCGGAGCAUGCGGAUUAAUUCGAUGCAACGCGAAGAACCUUACCAAGGCUUGACAUGGGCCGGAUCGCCGCAGAGAUGUGGUUUCUCCUUUUGGGGCCGGUUCACAGGUGGUGCAUGGUUGUCGUCAGCUCGUGUCGUGAGAUGUUGGGUUAAGUCCCGCAACGAGCGCAACCCUCGUUCCAUGUUGCCAGCACGUAGUGGUGGGGACUCAUGGGAGACUGCCGGGGUCAACUCGGAGGAAGGUGGGGACGACGUCAAAUCAUCAUGCCCCUUAUGUCUUGGGCUUCACGCAUGCUACAAUGGCCGGUACAAAGGGUUGCGAUACUGUGAGGUGGAGCUAAUCCCAAAAAGCCGGUCUCAGUUCGGAUUGGGGUCUGCAACUCGACCCCAUGAAGUCGGAGUCGCUAGUAAUCGCAGAUCAGCAACGCUGCGGUGAAUACGUUCCCGGGCCUUGUACACACCGCCCGUCAAGUCACGAAAGUUGGUAACACCCGAAGCCGGUGGCCUAACCCCUUUGUGGGAGGGAGCCGUCGAAGGUGGACGCAGUCACAGAAAAAAAAAAGGCCC